AGAACGAACGCUGGCGGCAGGCUUAACACAUGCAAGUCGAACGCCCCGCAAGGGGAGUGGCAGACGGGUGAGUAACGCGUGGGAAUCUACCUGGUUCUACGGAAUAACUGAGGGAAACUUCAGCUAAUACCGUAUACGCCCCAAGGGGGAAAGAUUUAUCGGUGCCAGAUGAGCCCGCGUUGGAUUAGCUAGUUGGUGGGGUAAUGGCCUACCAAGGCGACGAUCCAUAGCUGGUCUGAGAGGAUGAUCAGCCACACUGGGACUGAGACACGGCCCAGACUCCUACGGGAGGCAGCAGUGGGGAAUAUUGGACAAUGGGCGAAAGCCUGAUCCAGCCAUGCCGCGUGAGUGAUGAAGGCCUUAGGGUUGUAAAGCUCUUUCAGUGGGGAAGAUAAUGACGGUACCCACAGAAGAAGCCCCGGCUAACUUCGUGCCAGCAGCCGC
Molecule: ribosomal RNA, 444 nt
Filed under: uncultured bacterium
Lineage: Bacteria
Description: SSU rRNA
Rfam family: Bacterial small subunit ribosomal RNA
Source: RNAcentral